Molecule: ribosomal RNA, 115 nt
Filed under: Lepidothrix coronata (blue-crowned manakin)
Lineage: Eukaryota; Metazoa; Chordata; Aves; Passeriformes; Pipridae
Source: RNAcentral
UUUAGACAUACUAUCUUAUACUAGGAUCCCAUGAGAUCUCCUAAGCUAGGUCAGGUCAGGAUGGAUUACUACUUGGAACAGACACUUCCUAGGACUAUCCAGACCUCUUAUAAAA